This 388-nucleotide ribosomal RNA is filed under the name uncultured bacterium. RNAcentral's name for it is "partial 16S ribosomal RNA". It matches the Rfam family "Bacterial small subunit ribosomal RNA", at positions 523 to 918 of the family's 1533-position model. The record is from RNAcentral.
AUACGUAGGUGGCGAGCGUUAUCCGGAAUUAUUGGGCGUAAAGGGUGCGCAGGCGGCCUGUUAAGUUUAAGGUGAAAGCGUGGGGCUUAACCCCAUACAGCCUUAGAUACUGGCAGGCUAGAGUACUGGAGAGGAAAGUGGAAUUCCAUGUGUAGCGGUAAAAUGCGUAGAUAUAUGGAGGAACACCAGUGGCGAAGGCGGCUUUCUAGCCAGUAACUGACGCUGAGGCACGAAAGCGUGGGGAGCAAAUAGGAUUAGAUACCCUAGUAGUCCACGCUGUAAACGAUGAAUACUAAGUGUUGGGGAAACUCAGUGCUGCAGCUAACGCAAUAAGUAUUCCGCCUGUGGAGUAUGCACGCAAGGGUGAAACUUAAAGGAAUUGACGGGG